AGCAGUAUUACUUUCACCAGGCUCCAGAUUGUUCUACUCCUGAUGUCAGGAGGAAGCUGAUUUACCUUUGGAAUGAGAUAACCUCUGGGAUCCCUGAACAGUUAAAGGGCAGACGGAAAUAAGGCUUGGCAAUGAAGAUGGACAAGGAACAUAUGCCAGUGCACAUCUAUUAUAAGCCAUUUAUCCCAGACUGUGAUGCAAGUGUGCUUAAGUCUGAAAUGCAAGUGACUCGUACUUACAGGCAAAAUACAUUCCAGCUGAGGAAAAAAGGAUUUUUGUUGCUGAUUUAAUGGAGUGACAGCCUUUCAGAAGUCUUUAAAUUCACCAUUUUCACUGAUGUCACCCUGUUACCAGAAAGGAGUCCUAAUUCUGACCCCAAGAGAAGGUCCUUAAAUCUCGUGCAAGAAAGAUUUCAGGAUUCAAAGAAUUAGCUGGACUAUGUCUCCAGGUGGAUGACUCUAUGGAAACUUUGAGCUGUAUGGAACAACCUCCUGAUCAUCCAUUUACCUUGCUUUGGUACAUUAGGACUUUAAUAGAAACUGCCUAAUGUGCAGGUAAAAAACUAUCAGGACUCAAAACAAGGCCUGUCCAAU
Molecule: long non-coding RNA, 593 nt
Filed under: Homo sapiens (human)
Lineage: Eukaryota; Metazoa; Chordata; Mammalia; Primates; Hominidae
Description: HSALNT0310707
Source: RNAcentral